GUGGGGAAUCUUGCGCAAUGGGCGAAAGCCUGACGCAGUCAUGCCGCGUGAAUGAUGAAGGUCUUAGGAUUGUAAAAUUCUUUCACCGGGGACGAUAAUGACGGUACCCGGAGAAGAAGCCCCGGCUAACUUCGUGCCAGCAGCCGCGGUAAUACGAAGGGGGCUAGCGUUGCUCGGAAUUACUGGGCGUAAAGGGCGCGUAGGCGGACAGUUUAGUCAGAGGUGAAAGCCCAGGGCUCAACCUUGGAAUUGCCUUUGAUACUGGCUGUCUUGAGUACGGGAGAGGUGAGUGGAACUCCGAGUGUAGAGGUGAAAUUCGUAGAUAUUCGGAAGAACACCAGUGGCGAAGGCGACUCACUGGCCCGUUACUGACGCUGAGGCGCGAAAGCGUGGGGAGCAAACAGGAUUAGAAACCCCAGUAGUCC
Molecule: ribosomal RNA, 425 nt
Filed under: uncultured bacterium
Lineage: Bacteria
Description: partial 16S ribosomal RNA
Rfam family: Bacterial small subunit ribosomal RNA
Source: RNAcentral